AGUGAACGCUGGCGGUAGGCCUAACACAUGCAAGUCGAACGGCAGCACAGUAAGAGCUUGCUCUUACGGGUGGCGAGUGGCGGACGGGUGAGGAAUACAUCGGAAUCUACUUUUUCGUGGGGGAUAACGUAGGGAAACUUACGCUAAUACAGCAUACGACCUACGGGUGAAAGCAGUGGAUCUUUGGACCUUGCGCGGUUGGAUGAGCCGAUGUCGGAUUAGCUGGUUGGCGGGGUAAAGGCCCACCAAGGCGAGGAUCCGUAGCUGGUCUGAGUGGAUGAUCAGCCACACUGGAACUGAGACACGGUCAAGACUCCUACGGGAGGCAGCAGUGGGGAAUAGUGGACAAUGGGCGCAAGCCUGAUCCAGCCAUACCGCGUGGGUGAAGAAGGCCUUCGGGUUGUAAAGCCCUUUUGUUGGGAAAGAAAAGCAGCAAGUUAAUACCCCGCUGUUCUGACGGUACCCAAAGAAGAAGCACCGGCUAACUUCGUG
RNAcentral lists this ribosomal RNA (492 nucleotides) under uncultured bacterium. Its description in RNAcentral is "partial 16S ribosomal RNA". It matches the Rfam family "Bacterial small subunit ribosomal RNA", at positions 29 to 507 of the family's 1533-position model. The record is from RNAcentral.